RNAcentral lists this ribosomal RNA (450 nucleotides) under uncultured bacterium. RNAcentral's name for it is "bacterial SSU rRNA". It matches the Rfam family "Bacterial small subunit ribosomal RNA", at positions 354 to 796 of the family's 1533-position model. The record is from RNAcentral.
GUGGGGAAUAUUGGACAAUGGGCGAAAGCCUGAUCCAGCCAUGCCGCGUGUGUGAAGAAGGUCUUCGGAUUGUAAAGCACUUUAAGUUGGGAGGAAGGGCAGUAAGUUAAUACCUUGCUGUUUUGACGUUACCGACAGAAUAAGCACCGGCUAACUUCGUGCCAGCAGCCGCGGUAAUACGAAGGGUGCAAGCGUUAAUCGGAAUUACUGGGCGUAAAGCGCGCGUAGGUGGUGUUGUAAGUUGGAGGUGAAAUCCCCGGGCUCAACCUGGGAACUGCCUCCAAAACUGCAUGACUAGAGUACGGUAGAGGGUAGUGGAAUUUCCUGUGUAGCGGUGAAAUGCGUAGAUAUAGGAAGGAACACCAGUGGCGAAGGCGACUACCUGGACUGAUACUGACACUGAGGUGCGAAAGCGUGGGGAGCAAACAGGAUUAGAUACCCUAGUAGUCC